Molecule: ribosomal RNA, 1355 nt
Filed under: uncultured bacterium
Lineage: Bacteria
Description: bacterial SSU rRNA
Rfam family: Bacterial small subunit ribosomal RNA
Source: RNAcentral
CCUGGCUCAGGACGAACGCUGGCGGCGCGCCUAACACAUGCAAGUCGAACGAGAGAUGAGGAGCUUGCUCUUCAAAUCGAGUGGCGAACGGGUGAGUAACGCGUGAGGAACCUGCCUCAAAGAGGGGGACAACAGUUGGAAACGACUGCUAAUACCGCAUAAGCCCACAGCUCGGCAUCGAGCAGAGGGAAAAGGAGUGAUCCGCUUUGAGAUGGCCUCGCGUCCGAUUAGCUGGUUGGUGAGGUAACGGCCCACCAAGGCGAUGAUCGGUAGCCGGACUGAGAGGUUGAACGGCCACAUUGGGACUGAGACACGGCCCAGACUCCUACGGGAGGCAGCAGUGGGGAAUAUUGCACAAUGGGGGAAACCCUGAUGCAGCGACGCCGCGUGGAGGAAGAAGGUCUUCGGAUUGUAAACUCCUGUUGUUGAGGAAGAUAAUGACGGUACUCAACAAGGAAGUGACGGCUAACUACGUGCCAGCAGCCGCGGUAAAACGUAGGUCACAAGCGUUGUCCGGAAUUACUGGGUGUAAAGGGAGCGCAGGCGGGAGAACAAGUUGGAAGUGAAAUCCAUGGGCUCAACCCAUGAACUGCUUUCAAAACUGCUUUUCUUGAGUAGUGCAGAGUAGGCGGAAUUCCCGGUGUAGCGGUGGAAUGCGUAGAUAUCGGGAGGAACACCAGUGGCGAAGGCGGCCUACUGGGCACCAACUGACGCUGAGGCUCGAAAGUGUGGGUAGCAAACAGGAUUAGAUACCCUGGUAGUCCACACCGUAAACGAUGAUUACUAGGUGUUGGAGGAUUGACCCCUUCAGUGCCGCAGUUAACACAAUAAGUAAUCCACCUGGGGAGUACGACCGCAAGGUUGAAACUCAAAGGAAUUGACGGGGGCCCGCACAAGCAGUGGAGUAUGUGGUUUAAUUCGACGCAACGCGAAGAACCUUACCAAGUCUUGACAUCCCUUGACGAACAUAGAAAUAUGUUUUCUCUUCGGAGCAAGGAGACAGGUGGUGCAUGGUUGUCGUCAGCUCGUGUCGUGAGAUGUUGGGUUAAGUCCCGCAACGAGCGCAACCCUUAUGGUCAGUUACUACGCAAGAGGACUCUGGCCAGACUGCCGUUGACAAAACGGAGGAAGGUGGGGAUGACGUCAAAUCAUCAUGCCCUUUAUGACUUGGGCUACACACGUACUACAAUGGCGUUAAACAAAGAGAAGCAAGACCGCGAGGUGGAGCAAAACUCAGAAACAACGUCCCAGUUCGGACUGCAGGCUGCAACUCGCCUGCACGAAGUCGGAAUUGCUAGUAAUCGUGGAUCAGCAUGCCACGGUGAAUACGUUCCCGGGCCUUGUACACACCGCCC